UUCGGCUGCACUGAGGGGGGGGUUUCUGUGUGCCAGACGGAUUCACUCAGUGUUUGUUGUUUCUCUGCAGUGCACGUCUCCAUGUACAUGCUGGGCUUUGUUUGCUCUCAUGCAUGUGUUAAACUGUGCAGUCACACAUGUGCUGUAUCAUAACAGAUGUCUUCUGCUGAGUCCCAGCUCUGGGAUUUGGUGUGUUGGCUUGUGCUGCACUGCUGCCACCUAAAGACUGAGUUUGAGUUUGCUGCCAACCAUGAACGACUGGACAUCUCAUAUACUUUAUACUAGUUAUAAUUCAAACACAGCAUACACAGCCUGAUCUGUGUUUCAGAGAGUUCACUUGUCAAACAUGAGGAGGAUAUGAAGAGCUCUCUAUGGGACACCACACAGUCUGCUUUUCUUGUCACUGAACAGCCUUUCGUUGGCGUCAGUUAAAACAGGAAUCUGUCUGGUUUGCAGCUUUUAUCUUCCCACUUGAACAUUUCAACUUCAACACAUCCUUUUUGUUUUUAUACUAUUCACCAUACGCACUAAAAGAUUUCUUUUUUUUCCUCGUCUCAUGAGAAGAUAGUAUCAGUUUGAUAAAUGCAUCUUCCUUUGAGACUCGCCUUCUUUUAAAAACAGCCAAAUACAGUAUGUCAGUCUCAACAUACUUCCUGCCAGAAUGCACUGUCAUCAAAAUACACUGUGAUUAAAAUCAGACUCACAGAUGUGUUAAAAAUUAUGUCUUUUGUAAGCACUCCUCGAUGGUUCUCAAAACGAGCCAUCUGUCACCAAGCGCACUCGGCGGGGGUUUCUGUGCUCAACAGGACAAAGGAGACGGUUCGCAGCCAGAUGCUGUCAGCAGAAUAAAACCACGACACAUCUGAGAGCUGCUGUCUCAGACUGAUGCGCCAUAUGGACAAAAAACAUGUUUUUAAAACUACACAGCAUUCAAACUGAAAAAUAAAUAAUCAUUAAUCUGAUCUCUGAAGGAAAAAAAAAAAAUUUUUAUCAUUUAUAUCAGGAACAAAAGUGGCAGCUGAAGGUAAAUGUUGUUCUGAAGUUAAUUUAAGUAUCCAGGCUGUAUCGUUUUAGUUAAAAAUUAUCACUGUCUAUCAAACAUAGUUUAAUUUCUUAUGUGUCACUGUUAUCAAAACUUUACAGGUGAGAGCUGUACACCAAAGACCCUUAAAACCCACAGCAGUUUGUUCUGUUAGGGCCACAUUAAAAAAGACUUUCUAAAAGAUUGAGGACUUUAUUUCAAAGAUUCAGAUUCAUUACACUUAAAUUAAAGUCAGAGCAAAGUCAUGAUAGAAGGAGAAUAAAGUCACCAUGUUCUGGGAAUAAAGCAGAGAUAAAGUCGUAGUUUUGUUUUACGGAGAGCGGCCAGCUGUUUGUACCAACAUGAGGAACGCUGAGCAUCUCGUGAUAUAGUCUAUAAUGUUUUUGCCCAUCAGCAGCACUUUAUUAUAGAUCAGAUCAAAUUAAAAUGUUUUAAGAUGUUUUAUGAACAUACAAUUCAAAUUCUUAUCUCUUUUAUGGACUUUUUCAGUUUUCAGCAACUUGUCUACAUCUGUAUUUCUCUUAACGCACAGUAGUUCAUUUAACUUAUUCUCUCUUUACUUUUUAUUUCUCAGCAUCUUAUGUAUUUCAAGAUCUAUAAAACCCGAAUUCCAGCACUAACUUGUAUAUAUACUUUUUGAUUUAUGUACUUAUUCAUGUUUUUAUUUUUAUUUUUUGUUAUAGCUCCAGAAUUUAUUAUUUAAACAAAGUAAUAGGAAUAUCCAGCUGUAGACGGGGUUUGGGGGAAAGGGGGUGUUUGUAAUGUGUCUCCUGUGUAUAUCUGUAUAAAAUCAAUAAAAGUAUUGUUGAAUCAAAAAGAAACAAACAACCAGUGCUGGCCAAA
Molecule: non-coding RNA, 1885 nt
Organism: Xyrichtys novacula (pearly razorfish)
Lineage: Eukaryota; Metazoa; Chordata; Actinopteri; Labriformes; Labridae
Source: the annotation of a GenBank genome assembly